GGUAUUUUGACCGUGCAAAGGUAGCAUAAUCAUUAGUUUUUUAAUUGAAAGCUGGAAUGAAAGGUUGGAUGAGAAAUAAGCUGUCUCUAUUUAAUUUUAUUAGAAUUUUAUUUUUAAGUAAAAAAGCUUAAAUUUAAAUAGAAGACGAGAAGACCCUAUAGAGUUUUAUUUACUUUUUAAAUAAGAUUAAUAGUAUUAAUUAUUUUUAUUUAUAUAGUAAAUUUAGUUGGGGUGAUUGAAAAAUUUAAUAAACUUUUUUUAUAUAUGUACAUUGAUAUAUGAUUAAUUGAUCCUUAAUUUAAGAUUAAAAGAUAAAAUUACCUUAGGGAUAACAGCGUAAUUUUUUUUGAGAGUUCUAAUCGAAAGAAAAGAUUGCGACCUCGAUGUUGGAUUAAAAUAAAAUUUUGGUGUAGAAGCUAAAA
This 422-nucleotide ribosomal RNA is filed under the name Laparocerus bentejui delicatulus. RNAcentral's name for it is "partial 16S ribosomal RNA". Lineage: Eukaryota; Metazoa; Arthropoda; Insecta; Coleoptera; Curculionidae. The record is from RNAcentral.